Molecule: transfer RNA, 69 nt
Filed under: marine eukaryotic metagenome
Rfam family: tRNA
About the family: Transfer RNA (tRNA) molecules are approximately 80 nucleotides in length. Their secondary structure includes four short double-helical elements and three loops (D, anti-codon, and T loops). Further hydrogen bonds mediate the characteristic L-shaped molecular structure. tRNAs have two regions of fundamental functional importance: the anti-codon, which is responsible for specific mRNA codon recognition, and the 3' end, to which the tRNAs corresponding amino acid is attached (by aminoacyl-tRNA synthetases). tRNAs cope with the degeneracy of the genetic code in two manners: having more than one tRNA (with a specific anti-codon) for a particular amino acid; and 'wobble' base-pairing, i.e. permitting non-standard base-pairing at the 3rd anti-codon position.
Source: RNAcentral
GGGAGUAGCUCAGUUGGCUAGAGCAUCAGCCUUCCAAGCUGAGGGUCGCGGGUUCGAAUCCCGUCUCCC